CGGCGGACGGGUGAGUAACGCGUGGGUAACCUGCCUCAUACAGGGGGAUAACAGUUAGAAAUGACUGCUAAUACCGCAUAAGACCACAGCACCGCAUGGUGCGGGGGUAAAAACUCCGGUGGUAUGAGAUGGACCCGCGUCUGAUUAGCUGGUUGGUAAGGUAACGGCUACCAAGGCGACGAUCAGUAGCCGACCUGAGAGGGUGACCGGCCACAUUGGGACUGAGACACGGCCCAA
RNAcentral lists this ribosomal RNA (237 nucleotides) under uncultured bacterium. Its description in RNAcentral is "partial 16S ribosomal RNA". It matches the Rfam family "Bacterial small subunit ribosomal RNA", at positions 96 to 334 of the family's 1533-position model. The record is from RNAcentral.